Molecule: long non-coding RNA, 542 nt
Organism: Daucus carota subsp. sativus
Lineage: Eukaryota; Viridiplantae; Streptophyta; Magnoliopsida; Apiales; Apiaceae
Exons: 2
Source: RefSeq, a predicted model, not a curated record
AAGCUAGAUAUUUGCGUAAAUCAUAAUACCCCAUAUCCUCCCACCCCAACUCGGACUAUAUAUUAGCAUAACUCGCUCUCCUAAGUUCAAUCUAUACAAGCUCUCUUAGUAGUCUUCAACUACACAAACUAAACUCGUAUUAGUGAGGAAGAAGAAGAUGGGCGGUCAUCACCAUCAUGGUCACCCUCCUCCCCGUCAUGAUCAUCAUGAACAUCAUCAUGGUGGGCAUGGGAAUCCUCUUAUGACUCUCUUAUGCUGUCCCUGUAUGAUGUUCUCCUCUAUUUUGACGUGCCUGUGUUCACCCUUUCUGCGCUGCUUUGGGUGGGGUGAACACGGACAUCACCAUAGGCGGUACUGAAGGUUUUCACGAAAACAGACUCUCUUCCGCGUACCCGGGUCUGCUAUGGUCUGUUCAUCUCUUGAGAUGUCAUUCUUCUAAAUCUUUAUGAUUUGUAGUAGUUGUAUGAAUCUGAGUUCAGGAAUUCUGUUUUCGGGUUGUCUACUCUGAUGCUGUAGCUUGUAAUAAUUUUGAUCUUUUUUCA